Molecule: ribosomal RNA, 310 nt
Filed under: uncultured bacterium
Lineage: Bacteria
Description: partial 16S ribosomal RNA
Rfam family: Bacterial small subunit ribosomal RNA
Source: RNAcentral
AAGAGACAGCAGUAGCCGCGGUAAUACGUAGGGCGCAAGCGUUAUCCGGAAUUAUUGGGCGUAAAGAGCUCGUAGGCGGUUUGUCGCGUCUGCCGUGAAAGUCCGGGGCUCAACCCCGGAUCUGCGGUGGGUACGGGCAGACUAGAGUGAUGUAGGGGAGACUGGAAUUCCUGGUGUAGCGGUGGAAUGCGCAGAUAUCAGGAGGAACACCGAUGGCGAAGGCAGGUCUCUGGGCAUUAACUGACGCUGAGGAGCGAAAGCAUGGGGAGCGAACAGGAUUAGAUACCCGCGUAGUCCCUGUCUCUUAUAC